Molecule: ribosomal RNA, 254 nt
Filed under: uncultured bacterium
Lineage: Bacteria
Description: partial 16S ribosomal RNA
Rfam family: Bacterial small subunit ribosomal RNA
Source: RNAcentral
UACGGGGGGGGGUAAGCGUUGUUCGGAAUUACUGGGCGUAAAGGGCUCGUAGGCGGCCAACUAAGUCAUACGUGAAAUCCCUCAGCUUAACUGGGGAACUGCGUGUGAUACUGGAUGGCUUGGAUUUGGGAGAGGGAUGCGGAAUUCCAGGUGUAGCGGUGAAAUGCGUAGAUAUCUGGAGGAACACCGGUGGCGAAGGCGGCAUCCUGGACCAAUAUUGACGCUGGGGAGCGAAAGCGUGGGGAGCGAACAGG